This 780-nucleotide ribosomal RNA is filed under the name uncultured bacterium. RNAcentral's name for it is "bacterial SSU rRNA". It matches the Rfam family "Bacterial small subunit ribosomal RNA", at positions 559 to 1339 of the family's 1533-position model. The record is from RNAcentral.
CGUAAAGAGCUUGUAGGCGGCUUGUCGCGUCUGCUGUGAAAACCCGGGGCUUAACCCCGGGCUUGCAGUGGGUACGGGCAGGCUAGAGUGUGGUAGGGGAGACUGGAAUUCCUGGUGUAGCGGUGGAAUGCGCAGAUAUCAGGAGGAACACCGAUGGCGAAGGCAGGUCUCUGGGCCAUUACUGACGCUGAGAAGCGAAAGCGUGGGGAGCGAACAGGAUUAGAUACCCUGGUAGUCCACGCCGUAAACGUUGGGCGCUAGGUGUGGGUCCCAUUCCACGGGGUCCGUGCCGCAGCUAACGCAUUAAGCGCCCCGCCUGGGGAGUACGGCCGCAAGGCUAAAACUCAAAGGAAUUGACGGGGGCCCGCACAAGCGGCGGAGCAUGCGGAUUAAUUCGAUGCAACGCGAAGAACCUUACCAAGGCUUGACAUAUACCGGAAACUCCCAGAGAUGGGGGCCCCGCAAGGUCGGUAUACAGGUGGUGCAUGGUUGUCGUCAGCUCGUGUCGUGAGAUGUUGGGUUAAGUCCCGCAACGAGCGCAACCCUCGUUCUAUGUUGCCAGCACGUGAUGGUGGGGACUCAUAGGAGACUGCCGGGGUCAACUCGGAGGAAGGUGGGGAUGACGUCAAAUCAUCAUGCCCCUUACGUCUUGGGCUUCACGCAUGCUACAAUGGCCGGUACAGAGGGCUGCGAAACCGUGAGGUGGAGCGAAUCCCUUAAAGCUGGUCUCAGUUCGGAUUGGGGUCUGCAACUCGACCCCAUGAAGUCGGAGUCGCUAGU